RNAcentral lists this unclassified non-coding RNA (290 nucleotides) under Chytridiomycota sp. RNAcentral's name for it is "partial contains small subunit ribosomal RNA, internal transcribed spacer 1, and 5.8S ribosomal RNA". The stretch from base 1 to 47 matches the Rfam family "Eukaryotic small subunit ribosomal RNA", at positions 1785 to 1831 of the family's 1831-position model. Lineage: Eukaryota; Fungi; Chytridiomycota. The record is from RNAcentral.
AAAGUCGUAACAAGGUAACCGUAGGUGAACCUGCGGUUGGAUCAUUAAAAAUUCUCGCGGUGGGAAGCUCGCCAAUAUUGCGCAUGGGCUUCCCAUUUAGCUCUACACCUUUGUGAACCAUCAAACUGUAUUUUGGCGGCCCUCCAAACUCUCCUCCUGGCAGACCGUGGUCUGUUGGGACCAAAGGAGAUGGGCCGCCUGCCUUGGCAACACCCGUUUCUUUGUUUACACUUCUGAAAUUUUUUGAUGCAAAUCUAAAACAACUUUUGACAACGGAUCUCUUGGCUCUC